RNAcentral lists this ribosomal RNA (468 nucleotides) under uncultured bacterium. RNAcentral describes it as "partial 16S ribosomal RNA". It matches the Rfam family "Bacterial small subunit ribosomal RNA", at positions 28 to 507 of the family's 1533-position model. The record is from RNAcentral.
GACGAACGCUGGCGGCGUGCUUAACACGUGCAAGUCGAACGGAAAGGCCCUGCUUUGGUGGGGUGCUCGAGUGGCGAACGGGUGAGUAACACGUGAGUAACCUGCCUGUUACUGUGGGAUAACUUCAGGAAACUGUGGCUAAUACCGGAUAGCAGCUCCUGCUGCAUGGUGGGGGUUGGAAAGUUGCGGCGGCUGGGGAUGGACUUGCGGCUGAUUAGCUUGUUGGUGGGGUAGUGGUUUACCAAGGCCUUGACGGGUAGCCGGCCUGAGAGGGUGACAGGCCACAUUGGGACUGAGGUAGGGCCCAGACUGCUACGGGAGGCAGCGGUGGGGAAUAGUGCACAAUGGGCGGAAGCCUGAUGCAGCGACGCCGCGUGCGGGAUGACGGCCUUAGGGUUGUAAACCGCUUGCGCCUGUGACGAAGCGUGAGUGACGGUAAUGGGUAAAGAAGCACCGGCUAACUACGUG